RNAcentral lists this ribosomal RNA (483 nucleotides) under uncultured Sulfurihydrogenibium sp. RNAcentral's name for it is "bacterial SSU rRNA". It matches the Rfam family "Bacterial small subunit ribosomal RNA", at positions 31 to 530 of the family's 1533-position model. The record is from RNAcentral. Lineage: Bacteria; Pseudomonadati; Aquificota; Aquificia; Aquificales; Hydrogenothermaceae.
AGGGAACGUUGGCGGCGUGCCUAACACAUGCAAGUCGUGGGGCAGCAGGCUACUGUCUUUUGGCAGUAGUGCUGGCGACCGGCAAACGGGUGAGUAACACGUAGCUUACCUACCCAUAGGUUGGGGAUAACAUCCCGAAAGGGGUGCUAAUACCCAAUAAUGAGGAGACUCCAAAGCCCUUAUGGGCGCCUAUGGAUGGGGCUGCGUCCCAUCAGCUAGUUGGUGAGGUAAUGGCUCACCAAGGCUACGACGGGUAACCGGUCUGAGAGGAUGACCGGUCACAGCGGGACUGAGACACGGCCCGCACCCCUACGGGGGGCAGCAGUGGGGAAUAUUGGGCAAUGGCCGAAAGGCUGACCCAGCAACGCCGCGUGGUGGAUGAAGCCCUUCGGGGUGUAAACACCUUUUCUGGGGGAAGAUAAUGACGGUACCCCAGGAAUAAGGGACGGCUAACUACGUGCCAGCAGCCGCGGUAAUACGUAG